This 497-nucleotide ribosomal RNA is filed under the name uncultured bacterium. Its description in RNAcentral is "partial 16S ribosomal RNA". It matches the Rfam family "Bacterial small subunit ribosomal RNA", at positions 28 to 507 of the family's 1533-position model. The record is from RNAcentral.
GAUGAACGCUGGCGGCGUGCCUAAUACAUGCCAGUCGAGCGAACGGACGAGAAGCUUGCUUCUCUGAUGUUAGCGGCGGACGGGUGAGUAACACGUGGAUAACCUACCUAUAAGACUGGGAUAACUUCGGGAAACCGGAGCUAAUACCGGAUGAUAUUUUGAACCGCAUGGUUCAAAAGUGAAAGACGGUCUUGCUGUCACUUAUAGAUGGAUCCGCGCUGCAUUAGCUAGUUGGUAAGGUAACGGCUUACCAAGGCAACGAUGCAUAGCCGACCUGAGAGGGUGAUCGGCCACACUGGAACUGAGACACGGUCCAGACUCCUACGGGAGGUAGCAGUAGGGAAUCUUCCGCAAUGGGCGAAAGCCUGACGGAGCAACGCCGCGUGAGUGAUGAAGGUCUUCGGAUCGUAAAACUCUGUUAUUAGGGAAGAACAUAUGUGUAAGUAACUGUGCACAUCUUGACGGUACCUAAUCAGAAAGCCACGGCUAACUACGUG